CUAGGAUGGGUGACCUCCUGGG
RNAcentral lists this non-coding RNA (22 nucleotides) under Arabidopsis thaliana (thale cress). Lineage: Eukaryota; Viridiplantae; Streptophyta; Magnoliopsida; Brassicales; Brassicaceae. The record is from RNAcentral.